UACGGAGGUGGCAGGCGUUACUCGGAUUGAUUGGGUGUAAAGGGCAUGUAGGCGGUGCGCUAAGUCGAAUGUGAAAUCCCUUGGCUUAACCAAGGAACUGCAUUCGAAACUGGCGUGCUUGAGUGUUGGAGAGGAAAGCGGAAUUCCCGGUGUAACAGUGAAAUGUGUAGAUAUCGGGAGGAACACCAGUGGCGAAGGCGGCUUUCUGGACAACUACUGACGCUGAAAUGCGAGAGCAUGGGGAGCAAACAGG
This 253-nucleotide ribosomal RNA is filed under the name uncultured bacterium. RNAcentral's name for it is "partial 16S ribosomal RNA". It matches the Rfam family "Bacterial small subunit ribosomal RNA", at positions 524 to 776 of the family's 1533-position model. The record is from RNAcentral.